AUUGAACGCUGGCGGCAGGCCUAACACAUGCAAGUCGAGCGGAUAAAGGGAGCUUUCUCCUGGAUUCAGCGGCGGACGGGUGAGUAAUGCCUAGGAAUCUGCCUGGUAGUGGGGGAUAACGUCCGGAAACGGGCGCUAAUACCGCAUACGUCCUGAUGGUGAAACUGGGGGAUCUUUGGACCUCACGCUAUCAGAUGAGCCUAGGUCGGAUUAGCUAGUUGGUGGGGUAAAGGCCUACCAAGGCGACGAUCCGUAACUGGUCUGAGAGGAUGAUCAGUCACACUGGAACUGAGACACGGUCCAGACUCCUACGGGAGGCAGCAGUGGGGAAUAUUGGGCAAUGGGCGAAAGCCUGAUCCAGCCAUGCCGCGUGUGUGAAGAAGGUCUUCGGAUUGUAAAGCACUGUAAGUUGGGAGGAAGGGCAGUAAGUUAAUACCUUGCUGUUUUGACGUUACCAACAGAAUAAGCACCGGCUAACUACGUG
Molecule: ribosomal RNA, 484 nt
Filed under: uncultured bacterium
Lineage: Bacteria
Description: partial 16S ribosomal RNA
Rfam family: Bacterial small subunit ribosomal RNA
Source: RNAcentral